GUGGACUUAAAUCCACUGUCUCAUUCUAGGCACUGUGUGUGAGAAGUGAAUCGAUGAGAAAGUUUUCAUUUAGUGGAUUCCUCUACAGAUUUUUAAAGCCACCACCAACAGAUACGCAAAUGGUCUCCCUGCCCCUGGUGCCCACACACGCUCCAAGUGGAGACCCCUGGCUCCAGACUGAACAGGCUCCCAGUCCAGGAGCAGCUUGGACUGUCCUGCUCUAGCCAGAGUUGGGUGGCCUGUAGAUGUCAUCCUGUGACAGAGUGGGCUGGGGAUGUCAUUCUGGGCACUCUAGGGGCUUGGAAUGGAAGCAUCUCCUUCCCUCUGAGGGAGGCCAGGGUGGUGUCACCUGCCCUGGACCUCCACCUGACACCAUUCACCUAAAGUGUGCUCAGAGCUUCCAACAGCCGACCUGUCACCCACACUACCAUGCAGUGGGUGGCUGUGACAGCAUCCCUUCAUGUGGUUCAGGCUGGGUGUCGGCCACCCAAAGAGAGGCCUUGGAGAAGGGAGGUUCAGCCUCAGGAAGGAAGUCCUCUUACUUUCAAGCGACGAAAGGACACAGGGCUGCGGCGCGAGGGGCCCAAGCAGGUGGCCCAGGCGGCCUGGCGGUGCCCACCUGGCACGGAGGGAGGAGGUGCGCGCACUCCCGCCUGCAGAGGUCAGAGGGAGCGGAUCUUCUCCUCCCAUCCGGCCCCCUCUCCCCUGCCUGGGCUUUUCUUCCAGGAACGGAAUGAGCUACUUUAGCAGUUGAAAGGACAUUCCAUUCCCGUGACAGACAGGAGCCGGAUGCGGGCAUACCUCUGCCCUCUUUCUCCUAGGAAGGGUCAGGCAAUGAAUCACAACGAGUGAAAGUUUAAAACAGCAUUUCUUUAACUUCUAAAGGCCUCUCUCACUGACUUCCAAAGUGCCACCAACUGCUGUCUUCACAUCCCCAGCAAGGACCCAUUGCAGAACCUGUGCUGACCAUGGCGAAUUUUAUCUCUUCAGUAUUACCCUCAGGAAAUGGGUUCUUUUGGCACUAAAGUUGUCUAUUACGGAACGAAGGCGGACAGAGGAUUUUAAAACAGUGGGAAAAAAUGAUCCCCAUGGCAAAGAUCAUUCUGCUGUAUUCUGUUCUCUCUGUGUGGCGAGCCACCAACCCCAGCUCCUGAACCAAUCCGUCUGCCAGAGAAUCUGGAAGUUGCCCAUCAGAAAGGCUCUCCAUAAUGAGCCGCCCAGUAGGAGACACCAGCAGGGAUGAGAAUGAGAGACCAGGUAUUUCCCCAAGAGAACAGAACAUGUUUGAAGUUCAAACCCAUCUUUAACCACAAGGUUUCGCCCUUUAGGCCCUAAACACAUUGCAGUGCACAAGUGGGCUGGAGGGAGAAGGACGGUCUUACUAAACACUUGCUUCCGGAAGGGUUGUCUUCAGCUUCCUGACUCCAGUAAGUUGCACAGGUAUUGUUUUUCAGUUUGCUGGGCCUGCAGGUUGGAGAAAAAAGUAUUUGAAGUGUGUGUGCCUCAGGAGGAGCUCAGGGAGGCAGUGAUUAGGGACUCGUGCAGGAAGGGACAAAGAGCCAAUUACCAUCAAAGCCUGCGGUCUCCCUCGGAGAGGUUAAGGAGGAGAGCACGGGCCUUUGAGCUCCCCUGUCAUCUGUCCCGAGGCGUAAUCAAGUUAUCAUAGCACCCGGCCUCCAUGUAGCUACUUGAAUGAAGGCAAAAAUUCGCGGACAAAUUUCUAGCAGCGGGAAGUUGGUGCUCUCCUGCGAGGCUGGAUGAAAAGCACCUGUAACCUCGCCGGCCCCGUCCCACUCCUGCUGGGAGCCGCUUCAGGUGGCAGCUUCAGGCCGCUGGCUCCAGGCCUCUUGUCCGUGCAGGCCGGGUUGGGGGUGGGGAUGCUAUUAUGAGGUUCACGAGAGUGACAG
Molecule: long non-coding RNA, 1907 nt
Filed under: Cavia porcellus (domestic guinea pig)
Lineage: Eukaryota; Metazoa; Chordata; Mammalia; Rodentia; Caviidae
Description: lncRNA (ENSCPOG00000031979.1)
Source: RNAcentral